RNAcentral lists this long non-coding RNA (949 nucleotides) under Homo sapiens (human). RNAcentral describes it as "long non-coding RNA NONHSAT168798.1". The record is from RNAcentral. Lineage: Eukaryota; Metazoa; Chordata; Mammalia; Primates; Hominidae.
CUUGACAGUGAGGAGCUGCUCUCCUCCGUCGCCGCCGUCCGCGCUGGUCCCCGCGGCGCCGCCGCUGCUGCCACCCUCCUCCUCCAUCUUCUCCUUUUUUUCCGAUCCCGCGGGUCGCUACGAGGGGAACCCAGGAGACAGCGGACGCCCGUCCCCUCGCAGCCGCUGCCGCGGCCCCAGGAGUCGGGGUGCGGCGGCUCCAGAACUCGGACGCAAAGACGAGUCUCUUUCCCGCUCUGGCCGCACGGCUCGCUCCUCGCCUCCUCCCCCUUCGGCGGGCACCGCUAGUACCGCGCAACCAAACCGCCCCCUGCUCCACCGCCGCCUCCUCAGGCCGCUCCGCCCACAGCCAGCAAGGAGCCAAGUUACACCCUGUUUAACCCUGCCUUCAAAGGGACGACUCUGUAAGAUUCUCUGCUACUUAUUCAAGUUGACACGAUGCCCUUCACACUCCACCUGAGGUCCCGCCUUCCCUCUGCCAUAAGGAGUUUGAUUCUACAAAAGAAACCAAACAUCAGAAAUACAUCCAGCAUGGCUGGAGAGCUCCGACCAGCCAGCCUGGUGGUCCUGCCCAGGUCCCUUGCUCCAGCUUUUGAAAGAUUCUGCCAGGUCAACACUGGUCCUCUACCCCUGCUGGGCCAGAGUGAGCCAGAAAAGUGGAUGCUGCCCCCUCAAGGUGCUAUCUCAGAGACCAGCCUCAGGGACCUUCACAGUGCCUGGCACAGAACCUCACUCAUGACUGUUGCUCAGGAACGAGCUGCCCUCCCCACUGUUCUGACUCCUUCCCCUAUCACCUGGCGCCUGUCCUGGCUGAGAUCUUUGAGAUCAUGGAGAAAGUCCAGCCCUGGAGAAAUCCCACUGGCUCUGCCAUCUGUCCACUCCAUCGCCCAAGCCAGAAACCCGCCUGUACAGGAUUAAGAAGAAAAUAAAAAACACUUGCAUUACCAAC